AUCGCUUCUCGGCCUUUUGGCUCAGAUCAAGUGUAGUAUCUGUUCUUAUCAGUUUAAUAUCUGAUAUGUCCCCAUCGGGGGACUACAUAUUAAAUGGAUUUUUCGAACAGGGAGUCGGAAAUGGGGCUUGCUCCAUCCGCUCCACGCAUCGACCCGGUAUUGCAGUACCUCCGGGAACGGUGCAACACUU
This 190-nucleotide small nuclear RNA is filed under the name Salmo trutta (river trout). Its description in RNAcentral is "U2 spliceosomal RNA (ENSSTUG00000003800.1)". It matches the Rfam family "U2 spliceosomal RNA". From Rfam's summary of the family: U2 is a small nuclear RNA (snRNA) component of the spliceosome (involved in pre-mRNA splicing). Complementary binding between U2 snRNA (in an area lying towards the 5' end but 3' to hairpin I) and the branchpoint sequence (BPS) of the intron results the bulging out of an unpaired adenosine, on the BPS, which initiates a nucleophilic attack at the intronic 5' splice site, thus starting the first of two transesterification reactions that mediate splicing. The record is from Rfam by way of RNAcentral. Lineage: Eukaryota; Metazoa; Chordata; Actinopteri; Salmoniformes; Salmonidae.